ACAGGGCUCUGCGAAGUCGCAAGACGACGUAUAGGGUCUGACGCCUGCCCGGUGCCUGAAGGUUAAAAGGAGGGGUGAGAGCUCUGAAUUGAAGCCCAGGUAAACGGCGGCCGUAACUAUAACGGUCCUAAGGUAGCGAAAUUCCUUGUCGGGUAAGUUCCGACCUGCACGAAUGGCGUAACGACUUCCCCGCUGUCUCCAACAUCGACUCAGCGAAAUUGAAUUGCCUGUCAAGAUGCAGGCUUCCCGCGGUUAGACGGAAAGACCCCGUGCACCUUUACUACAACUUCGCAUUGGCAUCAGGAUUGUGAUGUGCAGGAUAGGUGGUAGGCUUUGAAGCGGGAACGCCAGUUCCCGUGGAGCCUCCCUUGAGAUACCACCCUUCGCACUCUUGAUGUCUAACCGCGGUCCGUUAUCCGGAUCCGGGACCCUGCGUGGUGGGUAGUUUGACUGGGGCGGUCGCCUCCUAAAGCGUAACGGAGGCGCGCGAAGGUUGGCUCAGAGCGGUCGGAAAUCGCUCGUUGAGUGCAAUGGCAGAAGCCAGCCUGACUGCAAGACUGACAAGUCGAGCAGAGUCGAAAGACGGCCAUAGUGAUCCGGUGGUCCCAAGUGGGAGGGCCAUCGCUCAACGGAUAAAAGGUACGCCGGGGAUAACAGGCUGAUACUGCCCAAGAGUCCAUAUCGACGGCAGUGUUUGGCACCUCGAUGUCGGCUCAUCUCAUCCUGGGGCUGGAGCAGGUCCCAAGGGUACGGCUGUUCGCCGUUUAAAGAGGUACGUGAGCUGGGUUUAGAACGUCGUGAGACAGUUCGGUCCCUAUCUGCCGUGGGUGUAGGAUACUUGAGAGGAGUUGCCCCUAGUACGAGAGGACCGGGGUGAACGAUCCACUGGUGGACCUGUUGUGGCGCCAGCCGCAGUGCAGGGUAGCUAUGAUCGGAAAGGAUAACCGCUGAAGGCAUCUAAGCGGGAAGCCCCCCUCAAAACAAGGUAUCCCUGAGGGCCG
RNAcentral lists this ribosomal RNA (1001 nucleotides) under marine metagenome. Its description in RNAcentral is "bacterial LSU rRNA". It matches the Rfam family "Bacterial large subunit ribosomal RNA", at positions 1815 to 2824 of the family's 2925-position model. The record is from RNAcentral.